RNAcentral lists this ribosomal RNA (252 nucleotides) under uncultured bacterium. RNAcentral's name for it is "partial 16S ribosomal RNA". It matches the Rfam family "Bacterial small subunit ribosomal RNA", at positions 524 to 776 of the family's 1533-position model. The record is from RNAcentral.
UACGGGGGGGCAAGCGUUGUUCGGAAUUACUGGGCGUAAAGGGCUCGUAGGUGGCCAACUAAGUCAGACGUGAAAUCCCUCGGCUUAACCGGGGAACUGCGUCUGAUACUGGAUGGCUUGAGUUUGGGAGAGGGAUGCGGAAUUCCAGGUGUAGCGGUGAAAUGCGUAGAUACUGGGAGGAACACCGGUGGCGAAGGCGGGUCUCUGGGCCGAUACUGACGCUGAGGAGCGAAAGCGUGGGGAGCGAACAGG